UACGUAGGGUGCAAGCGUUGUCCGGAAUUAUUGGGCGUAAAGGGCUCGUAGGCGGUCCAUCGCGUCGGGAGUGAAAAGCUGGGGCUUAACCCCAGUCCUGCUUCCGAUACGGGUGGACUAGAGGUAGGUAGGGGAGAUCGGAAUUCCUGGUGUAGCGGUGAAAUGCGCAGAUAUCAGGAAGAACACCGGUGGCGAAGGCGGCUCUCUGGGCCUUACCUGACGCUGAGGAGCGAAAGCGUGGGGAGCGAACAGG
Molecule: ribosomal RNA, 253 nt
Filed under: uncultured bacterium
Lineage: Bacteria
Description: partial 16S ribosomal RNA
Rfam family: Bacterial small subunit ribosomal RNA
Source: RNAcentral